CCUACGGGAGGCAGCAGUAGGGAAUCUUCCGGGGUUUGGACGCAGUCUGAUGGAGCACGCCGCGUGAGUGAAGAAGGUUUUCGGAUCGUAAAGCUCUGUUGUUGGUGAAGAAGGAUAGAGGCAGUAACUGGUCUUUAUUUGACGGUAAUCAACCAGAAAGUCACGGCUAACUACGUGCCAGCAGCCGCGGUAA
Molecule: ribosomal RNA, 193 nt
Filed under: uncultured Lactobacillus sp.
Lineage: Bacteria; Bacillati; Bacillota; Bacilli; Lactobacillales; Lactobacillaceae
Description: partial 16S ribosomal RNA
Rfam family: Bacterial small subunit ribosomal RNA
Source: RNAcentral